UAGCUCUUGACUCAUGACCAAAGUGGACUGC
Molecule: non-coding RNA, 31 nt
Filed under: Rattus norvegicus (Norway rat)
Lineage: Eukaryota; Metazoa; Chordata; Mammalia; Rodentia; Muridae
Source: RNAcentral